RNAcentral lists this ribosomal RNA (486 nucleotides) under uncultured bacterium. RNAcentral describes it as "partial 16S ribosomal RNA". It matches the Rfam family "Bacterial small subunit ribosomal RNA", at positions 30 to 507 of the family's 1533-position model. The record is from RNAcentral.
AUUGAACGCUGGCGGCAUGCCUUACACAUGCAAGUCGAACGGCAGCACGGGUGCUUGCACCUGGUGGCGAGUGGCGAACGGGUGAGUAAUACAUCGGAACAUGUCCUGUAGUGGGGGAUAGCCCGGCGAAAGCCGGAUUAAUACCGCAUACGAUCUACGGAUGAAAGCGGGGGACCUUCGGGCCUCGCGCUAUAGGGUUGGCCGAUGGCUGAUUAGCUAGUUGGUGGGGUAAAGGCCUACCAAGGCGACGAUCAGUAGCUGGUCUGAGAGGACGACCAGCCACACUGGGACUGAGACACGGCCCAGACUCCUACGGGAGGCAGCAGUGGGGAAUUUUGGACAAUGGGCGAAAGCCUGAUCCAGCAAUGCCGCGUGUGUGAAGAAGGCCUUCGGGUUGUAAAGCACUUUUGUCCGGAAAGAAAUCCUUGGCCCUAAUACAGUCGGGGGAUGACGGUACCGGAAGAAUAAGCACCGGCUAACUACGUG